GCCCGCUUAGCUCAGUGGUAGAGCAUUCGCUUUACAUGCGAGUGGUCGGGGGUUCAAAUCCCUCAGCGGGCA
This 72-nucleotide transfer RNA is filed under the name Candidatus Gottesmanbacteria bacterium RIFOXYB1_FULL_47_11. RNAcentral describes it as "tRNA-Val". It matches the Rfam family "tRNA". Rfam says of the family: Transfer RNA (tRNA) molecules are approximately 80 nucleotides in length. Their secondary structure includes four short double-helical elements and three loops (D, anti-codon, and T loops). Further hydrogen bonds mediate the characteristic L-shaped molecular structure. tRNAs have two regions of fundamental functional importance: the anti-codon, which is responsible for specific mRNA codon recognition, and the 3' end, to which the tRNAs corresponding amino acid is attached (by aminoacyl-tRNA synthetases). tRNAs cope with the degeneracy of the genetic code in two manners: having more than one tRNA (with a specific anti-codon) for a particular amino acid; and 'wobble' base-pairing, i.e. permitting non-standard base-pairing at the 3rd anti-codon position. The record is from RNAcentral. Lineage: Bacteria; Candidatus Gottesmaniibacteriota. RNAcentral also lists the same sequence under 1 other name.